GAUGAACGCUGGCGGCGUGCCUAAUACAUGCAAGUCGAGCGAACAGACGAGGAGCUUGCUCCUCUGACGUUAGCGGCGGACGGGUGAGUAACACGUGGAUAACCUACCUAUAAGACUGGGAUAACUUCGGGAAACCGGAGCUAAUACCGGAUAAUAUAUUGAACCGCAUGGUUCAAUAGUGAAAGACGGUUUUGCUGUCACUUAUAGAUUGAUCCGCGCCGCAUUAGCUAGUUGGUAAGGUAACGGCUUACCAAGGCAACGAUGCGUAGCCGACCAGAGAGGGUGAUCGGCCACACUAGAACUGGGACACGGUCCAGACGCCUACGGGAGGCAGCAGUAGGGAAUCGGCGGCAAUGGGGGAAAGCAUGACGGAGCAACGCCGCGUCAGUGAUGCAGGUCUUCGGUGAGUAAGACUAUGUUAUUAGGGAAGAACAAAUGUGUAAGCAACUAUGCAGGUAUUGACGGUACCUAAUGAGGAAGCGACGGCUAACUACGUG
This 497-nucleotide ribosomal RNA is filed under the name uncultured bacterium. Its description in RNAcentral is "partial 16S ribosomal RNA". It matches the Rfam family "Bacterial small subunit ribosomal RNA", at positions 28 to 507 of the family's 1533-position model. The record is from RNAcentral.